UAAGAGGCUGUAAGCCGAUUCUCUCAAAUUAAAAACUAAUGAGAAAUAAUAACUGGAAGACUCCAAAUAAGGUGUACUUACGACUGGCCAAGAUAUCCUGCCAAUAAAAAGGGAGAUGCAAAGGAGCCUCCCAAGACAGCCAGCACGAGGCACCUGGGAGGAUGGUGGUUUGGGAAGUGAAGAUAAAUACUUCCCUAACAUUAACCCCCCCACCACCCCCCAGCUGUGGAUCUCGGGAAGUCCCUCUCUGGUGUUGAUGUUUCACCACUGAACAGAGGAAAGCCGAAAAACCUGGAGAAAGUGCAUCCUCUCAUGUCCCACCAGGGGUCCCAGAGCGUAUUCCUUCUGUGCUGACGGAAGGAUCCAUCCCUUCCCUCCCUGCCUGAAGCCAUGACUAUGCUGGGGGCAAAACGUCUCCAGAAGAGCUGGAGUGAGAGGACCUUCCUGGGGGGUAUUUCCAACAUGCGACUGGGGGAAUGAGAAGAACUUAGCUCAAUUAUUUUGUUUUAAAACAUCUUCCUCCUCAGCCCGAUUUUAUACUUUAAAGUAGUUUUACAAGCUGUGGAGCUCAUGCACGUGUCUGAACCUGAAGGAGGAAUUGCUUCAUCACUGGAGGGGAAGGACAAGGCAUGGAGGUGCAAGGUCCAUCCUAAGAAUGCUGAACAUCAGUCUGGGACAAACCUUGCCUGCUCUCACUGUGACACCAGCACGGAAAGAAAGGAGAGAAGUGCCAUGCCCUGCAGAUGUGAGAUGCAAACCCAGCCAGAGCGUGCAGCCUUGGGUGAGACCGUGGCUCCUUGCAGCCCAUUCAUCUUCAUUACCUGCCUCAGCUGCCAGCAGCGACAGCAAAACAGCUCUCCAGACCAGCGCCACCGGUGGUUUUCCCUGUGGGAGGUGUUCCUGGUAGAACAAUUUGGUUUCUCCUCAGCCCCACCUAAUGCCCAGGCGGUAUCAGCCUGCCUGCCUCUGUGGGCUCCCCAGAUACAAGUGAGCUCCUUGGCCUGCCUGGCUGCCUUCCCCGAUCACCUACACGGCAGUAAUGCAGGCUGUGGUGCUACCCAUGCCUCUGCACCCAUGCUGCUGGGCCCCGGCGGGCUCCCUGGGCUGUAUUUACUCAAGAUGCUGGGCUGCAGUUUGCUCAUCCCUGCUCUACAGGGCUGCUUUGUCCACAAAAGCAACUGGGGAGCUGCAGCCAUGCAAAAUGUACCUGCAUCUAUUCGUGCGUGCGCGUGCUGUAUCCCACCUGCAGUACUUCAACACCUAGUUCUCUAACACGUCUGUCGCAACAAAUAUUCCAAUGUCAAAUUCUGUAUAAGCAAAAAAUCCCUUUUUUAUAUGCAAAGGUUUUUCAUGGAUCGGAAAUUAUUGCACCCAAUAGUUCUAUUUUGAAUCCAUAGUAAUUUCAGUCAUGAUUUAAGGCAUAGAUGAUGUUUGCUCAUUUACAGAAUCAGUCUUAGGCUUCCUUGUCGUUCAUUUUUC
This 1479-nucleotide long non-coding RNA is filed under the name Anser brachyrhynchus (Pink-footed goose). Its description in RNAcentral is "lncRNA (ENSABRG00000014979.1)". Lineage: Eukaryota; Metazoa; Chordata; Aves; Anseriformes; Anatidae. The record is from RNAcentral.